RNAcentral lists this long non-coding RNA (1599 nucleotides) under Monodelphis domestica (gray short-tailed opossum). RNAcentral describes it as "lncRNA (ENSMODG00000049072.1)". The record is from RNAcentral. Lineage: Eukaryota; Metazoa; Chordata; Mammalia; Didelphimorphia; Didelphidae.
AUGUGGCAGAGGCAGGGACGGAGGCCUCGGAAACACACGCGAGGCCGACCGCCGCUCGCCAACCCGCGGCCACACGCAGGCCCAGAGGGAGGGUCUCAGGGUGUCCGUAGCCACCCGGAAGGGCUCUGGAUCACCCCAGAGAAAUCCGAGUCAGAGCAGCGCCGAGGCUUCCCCUCCCACCCUGCAAACUGGCAAGGAUGGCGACGGCCAAUGCGGGAGGGGCGGUCACAAGCCACACACACUCAUACAUUGUUGGUGGAGUUACACUCAUCAUACGCCUCGUAUUCACACUCACAUAUUCUCUCACACUCAUUCUCUCACACACACUCACUCACACACACACGCUUAUUUUCUCACACAUUCACACACAUUCUCUCACACUCACUCUCACACAUGCUUAUUUUCUCACACACUCACACACAUUCUCACACACACACUCACUCACACUCUGUCACACAUGCUUAUUUUCUCACACAUUCACACACAUUCUCACACUCACUCACACUCACACACUCACACAUGCUUAUUUUCUCACACACUCACACACAUUCUCUCACACUCACACUCACACACUCUCACAGACACACCCAGAGCCUAGGGUGGCUCAGCCCUCCAUCUUGGGCCCUUGACCGCAGCCUCUAACCCCACUGGGCCUCCGUGUCCUGCCCUGCCCAAGGUUCUGGGCCUGCUCUGGGUCGGGGGGACGAGGACACGUCCCGAGGGGCACCCCACACGGCUGCAGCUUCUCCCAUCUCGCAGGCACGGCCUCCACACGCCCCGUGUCCAGAGCAGGAGCCGUGGGGUCUCUUAGUCACUGGGGGAAGCCCAGGCCACUCUGGUGCCAUCUCUGGGGCCCCAAGAGAAAGCCACGAGGCUGGCCUGGCACGGCCCAUGAGCUCCCAGUGGUCUCGGGGAGGGAGGGCACUAGAUGCUGGGGGAUGGACAGGCCUCCCUGGCAGCCAUCCAGCACUCCUGUAGGUGGCUGGGAAACGGAGGCCCAGAGAUGGGCUCCCAGGAACGAGGUGCCACGUUCAGGGAAGCUAGCUUGGAGGCCGGAGGCACUAGGGAGCCACCGAGGUUCAUUGAGUGGGAGAGAGGCUGCCUUGGGCUCUCAUGUGCUCUAGGAGGGUCCCGUCACGAGGGAGCCCUGGGGGGGCUGAGGGGAGCCCUUCGGGGAGGGCGAAGGGGGGAGCUCAGAGGGCUCUCCAACAACGGGCUGUCACACGGGGAGAGCCCCAGAGCUGAGAGACAACGGGGGGCUCCUCUGCCUCCUCCCCAGGCACCUGCCCAGGCUCGACAGGGGGCCCUGGCGGAGGGUGGGUGCGAGGCCUGGCCAUGGCCGCAGGAGAAGGUGGGCGGGAGAGGCCGGACAGCAUGACAGGACGGCCCAGGCUCGCGGGCAGGAACGGGGCACCCGGAGGGGCCAAAAGGGCGGUCCUUCCACAGAGGGCAGGAGAGAGGAGCAGAGCCUGGGGCAGGGCAGGGCCAGCGGGAGGCCUGGCCUGAGUGACUCGGCCCGAGCCCAGGAGGAGCCUGGGAAAAGGCCCUGCCAGGGGCCUCAGGGGAGGGGCGGCCCCCAGCAGCAACCAGGAGGGCCUG